CGGCACUGCAGCUGAGGACCCCCGCGUUCCCUAGCAACGCCCCAAACCUGCGGAGGCGACUCCUGCACCCGCCGGGCCCACGCUGGGGGUAGGCGAGGGGAGACGCGCCUCGCCGGGCUUCUUCCUGAACAGGGUUUCUCUCCUUCCUCCGUGAAAAAGGAUCCCGAGGUGGAGUCACGGUGGAGGAACUCAGAAGCUCUUUGCUGCAGCCCAGUGGCCGCCGGCGGAACCUGACGGGGCUCGAGGCCCGGGCGGGACAGGGCCAGGCCGUGAGCGUGCCCUUUAUCCCCCACAGCCGUGAGUUUGGGGGCAUCUGUCCCCCUUCGCAGGGGCUGUAUGAUUAGAAACAAACACAGUGAAUGCAGUUGCCAAGCACUGUCCACCAGAAAGAUAGCAUGGACAUUGAGGCAGCCAUGACAGGACAACUAAAGACACACCUGAAAGAGGACUUCCAGAGCUACUUCAGAAAGUGGCAAGAACAAUGGGAUAAGAGCCUCCAUUCUGAUUUCCAUAAUGGCUUCAGUAACCUACAUUCCCAGCAGGAGCCCACAAAGAUUCCUUUUCCUCCACACCUUCACCAAUACCUGGCAGCCCUUGCUCCCUUACUAACAGCCAUUUACCAGAGAAUGAACUAAGGCACCUCCCUAUUCAGAGGUUCUCCAGAAACAGUGAGGAGACUGCAGACCUCCGACAUCUACCUGCUGCUCAGGGGCAGUAUUUCAGCAGGAGCCUCCCAGCCAAAGUGCCAGGGUUGCUUUACAGAGCCAGACCCAACCUCAGCGGAAACCACAGGCCCGGGACACAGACACUGCCGAUUUAAGAAGUAAUUACAACAUUGAACACGGCCUUAAAUAAAAGCAAAAAUGCAGGAGACAGGAGGGAAAACAGAAGCAUACAUUGGGAACUAUGCCAUUUUCCCCAGAUGUUUUGUAAUAUUUGCAACCUGGCUGCAUCUGACAUGAGCUGAGCACCCACCCAGGAGGAGUGGGUGGCUCUGUCCUGGAAAGAGUGAGAAGAAAAAUAAAUAAAUAGAUUAAUUAAUUAAUUAAAAUUCAAAAAGCAGUGAGAAGAAAUGCCUCAAUAUCAGAGAUCAUCCAUCUGCCUGAAUGCCUUUUUGUUUAAUGCCCUUCUCCAGUGAGAACCCUCUUCUACUGGUCCUCAAGGAAUGAAUUAGUAUACUAUAUCAUGACAAGUAAUGAAAG
Molecule: long non-coding RNA, 1202 nt
Filed under: Heterocephalus glaber (naked mole-rat)
Lineage: Eukaryota; Metazoa; Chordata; Mammalia; Rodentia; Bathyergidae
Description: lncRNA (ENSHGLG00100050982.1)
Source: RNAcentral